GACGAACGCUGGCGGCGUGGAUUAGGCAUGCAAGUCGAACGGUAGGAUACCUUCGGGUAUCUGAGAGUGGCGAACGGGUGAGUAACACGUAGGUGAUCUACCCUCAAGAUUGGGACAACCCAGGGAAACUUGGGCUAAUACCGGAUGAAAGCAGCAGUGAUGUUGUUUGAAAGGUGGCGUAAGCUGCCGUUUGGGGAUGAGCCUGCGCUCUAUUAGUUAGUUGGCGGGGUAAAGGCCCACCAAGGCGAUGAUAGAUAGGCGGCCUUAACGGGUGGUCGCCCACACUGGGAUUGAGAUACGGCCCAGACUCCUACGGGAGGCAGCAGUCGAGAAUAGUCUACAAUGGCCGAAAAGGCUGAUAGUGCGACGCCGCGUGAACGAAGAAGCCCUUCGGGUGUAAAGUUCUUUUAUAUGUGAGCAGUGCUUUCUAUGUGAACAGCAUGGGGAGAGAGAUAUUAAGCAUAUGAAUAAGCAACGGCUAACUCCGUGCCAGCA
This 495-nucleotide ribosomal RNA is filed under the name uncultured bacterium. RNAcentral describes it as "bacterial SSU rRNA". It matches the Rfam family "Bacterial small subunit ribosomal RNA", at positions 28 to 513 of the family's 1533-position model. The record is from RNAcentral.